UGGGUAAUCUUUGAACGUGAAUCGUGCUGGGGAUAGAUGAUUGCAAUUAUUCAUCUUCAACGAGGAAUUCCUAGUAAACGCAAGUCAUCAGCUUGCAUUGAUUACGUCCCUGCCCUUUGUACACACCGCCCGUCGCACCUACCGAUUGAAUGACCCGGUGAAAUCUUCGGAUCGUCGUAUUGCCCGAUUCAUUCCGGGCGAUGUGACGCAAAGUUGAUUAAACCUUGCCAUUUAGAGGAAGGUGAAGUCGUAACAAGGUUUCCGUAGGUGAACCUGCGGAAGGAUCAUUA
Molecule: ribosomal RNA, 290 nt
Filed under: uncultured stramenopile
Lineage: Eukaryota
Description: partial 18S ribosomal RNA
Rfam family: Eukaryotic small subunit ribosomal RNA
Source: RNAcentral